This 520-nucleotide non-coding RNA is filed under the name uncultured Glomus. RNAcentral's name for it is "SSU rRNA". It matches the Rfam family "Eukaryotic small subunit ribosomal RNA", at positions 569 to 1093 of the family's 1831-position model. The record is from RNAcentral. Lineage: Eukaryota; Fungi; Glomeromycota; Glomeromycetes; Glomerales; Glomeraceae. RNAcentral also lists the same sequence under 1 other name.
AGCAGCCGCGGUAAUUCCAGCUCCAAUAGCGUAUAUUAAAGUUGUUGCAGUUAAAAAGCUCGUAGUUGAAUUUUAGGCCUGGCCGGGCGGUCCGUCUUUGGCGAGUACUGUCUGUUGUCGGGUCUUCCUUCUGGUGAACCAAUAUGUCCUUUAUUGGGUGUGCUGGGGAGCCAGGACCAUUACCUUGAAAAAAUUAGAGUGUUUAAAGCAGGCUUUUGCUUGAAUAGAUUAGCAUGGAAUAAUAGAAUAGGACGUUGUGGUUCUAUUUUGUUGGUUUCUAGGACCACCGUAAUGAUUAAUAGGGAUAGUUGGGGGCAUUAGUAUUCAAUUGUCAGAGGUGAAAUUCUUGGAUUUAUUGAAGACUAACUAUUGCGAAAGCAUUUGCCAAGGAUGUUUUCAUUAAUCAAGAACGAAAGUUAGGGGAUCGAAGACGAUCAGAUACCGUCGUAGUCUUAACCAUAAACUAUGCCGACUAGGAAUCGGGCGACGUUAUUUUAAUGACUCGCUCGGCGCCUUAUGG